RNAcentral lists this ribosomal RNA (407 nucleotides) under uncultured bacterium. Its description in RNAcentral is "partial 16S ribosomal RNA". It matches the Rfam family "Bacterial small subunit ribosomal RNA", at positions 28 to 526 of the family's 1533-position model. The record is from RNAcentral.
GACGAACGCUGGCGGCGUGCUUAACACAUGCAAGUCGAACGAAGUGGCGCACGGGUGAGUAAUAUAUAUUAAUCUGCCCUACACAGAGGAACAACAGUUGGAAACGACUGCUAAUACCUCAUAGUGUAGGAUGAGACUAUAUCGUAUCAGCUAGUUGGUAAGGUAAUGGCUUACCAAGGCUAUGACGCGUAACUGGUCUGAGAGGAUGAUCAGUCACAUGGGAACUGAGACACGGUCCAAACUCCUACGGGAGGCAGCAGUAAGGAAUAUUGCGCAAUGGGGGAAACCCUGAUCCAGCCAUGCCGCGUGUGUGAAGAAGGUCUUCGGAUUGUAAAGCACUUUAAGUUGGGAGGCGUUACCAACAGAAUAAGCACCGGCUAACUUCGUGCCAGCAGCCGCGGUAAUAC